This 739-nucleotide ribosomal RNA is filed under the name Actinacidiphila glaucinigra. RNAcentral's name for it is "bacterial SSU rRNA". It matches the Rfam family "Bacterial small subunit ribosomal RNA", at positions 51 to 807 of the family's 1533-position model. The record is from RNAcentral. Lineage: Bacteria; Bacillati; Actinomycetota; Actinomycetes; Kitasatosporales; Streptomycetaceae.
ACACAUGCAAGUCGAACGGUGAAGCCCUUCGGGGUGGAUCAGUGGCGAACGGGUGAGUAACACGUGGGCAAUCUGCCCUGCACUCUGGGACAAGCCCUGGAAACGGGGUCUAAUACCGGAUAUUACCUUCCUCUGCAUGGGGGUUGGUGGAAAGCUCCGGCGGUGCAGGAUGAGCCCGCGGCCUAUCAGCUUGUUGGUGGGGUAAUGGCCUACCAAGGCGACGACGGGUAGCCGGCCUGAGAGGGCGACCGGCCACACUGGGACUGAGACACGGCCCAGACUCCUACGGGAGGCAGCAGUGGGGAAUAUUGCACAAUGGGCGAAAGCCUGAUGCAGCGACGCCGCGUGAGGGAUGACGGCCUUCGGGUUGUAAACCUCUUUCAGCAGGGAAGAAGCGAAAGUGACGGUACCUGCAGAAGAAGCACCGGCUAACUACGUGCCAGCAGCCGCGGUAAUACGUAGGGUGCGAGCGUUGUCCGGAAUUAUUGGGCGUAAAGAGCUCGUAGGCGGCCUGUCGCGUCGGUUGUGAAAGCCCGGGGCUUAACCCCGGGUCUGCAGUCGAUACGGGCAGGCUAGAGUUCGGUAGGGGAGAUCGGAAUUCCUGGUGUAGCGGUGAAAUGCGCAGAUAUCAGGAGGAACACCGGUGGCGAAGGCGGAUCUCUGGGCCGAUACUGACGCUGAGGAGCGAAAGCGUGGGGAGCGAACAGGAUUAGAUACCCUGGUAGUCCACGCCGUAAAC